UCUACCUACCGCAGACUCUUUUUCUAUCCUUCUCUCACUUGUCUUACUAGAGUAGAAAACCCCUCGUCGUGCACAUCUCCUCUCUCCCUCUCUUUCUUCUUCUACUCUCUCCCUCCCUUUUCCUCUCAUUUUUUCUCCUUUCCCUCAUCUUUUCCUAUUUUCCUCCACCCUCUCCUGUGUUGCCCUAAUGCAAACUCACC
Molecule: long non-coding RNA, 200 nt
Filed under: Ananas comosus (pineapple)
Lineage: Eukaryota; Viridiplantae; Streptophyta; Magnoliopsida; Poales; Bromeliaceae
Description: long non-coding RNA (ACOM_LNC031362)
Source: RNAcentral